AAUCCCCGGGCUCAACCUGGGAACUGCAUCUGAUACUGGCAAGCUUGAGUCUCGUAGAGGGGGGUAGAAUUCCAGGUGUAGCGGUGAAAUGCGUAGAGAUCUGGAGGAAUACCGGUGGCGAAGGCGGCCCCCUGGACGAAGACUGACGCUCAGGUGCGAAAGCGUGGGGAGCAAACAGGAUUAGAUACCCUGGUAGUCCACGCCGUAAACGAUGUCGACUUGGAGGUUGUGCCCUUGAGGCGUGGCUUCCGGAGCUAACGCGUUAAGUCGACCGCCUGGGGAGUACGGCCGCAAGGUUAAAACUCAAAUGAAUUGACGGGGGCCCGCACAAGCGGUGGAGCAUGUGGUUUAAUUCGAUGCAACGCG
RNAcentral lists this ribosomal RNA (366 nucleotides) under Escherichia coli. Its description in RNAcentral is "bacterial SSU rRNA". It matches the Rfam family "Bacterial small subunit ribosomal RNA", at positions 598 to 963 of the family's 1533-position model. The record is from RNAcentral. Lineage: Bacteria; Pseudomonadati; Pseudomonadota; Gammaproteobacteria; Enterobacterales; Enterobacteriaceae.